Molecule: ribosomal RNA, 411 nt
Filed under: uncultured bacterium
Lineage: Bacteria
Description: bacterial SSU rRNA
Rfam family: Bacterial small subunit ribosomal RNA
Source: RNAcentral
AGUGGCGGACGGGUGAGUAACGCGUGAGUAUCUGCCCUAAGGCGGGGGACAACAGUUGGAAACGACUGCUAAUACCCCAUAUGCCGAGAGGUGAAAGGUUUACUACCUUAGGAUGAGCUCGCGUCUGAUUAGCUAGUAGGUGAGGUAAUGGCUUACCUAGGCGACGAUCAGUAGCUGGUCUGAGAGGAUGAUCAGCCACACUGGGACUGAGACACGGCCCAGACUCCUACGGGAGGCAGCAGUGGGGAAUUUUCCGCAAUGGGCGAAAGCCUGACGGAGCAACGCCGCGUGAGGGAGGAAUGUCUUUGGAUUGUAAACCUCUUUUCUCAAGGAAGAUAAUGACGGUACUUGAGGAAUCAGCAUCGGCUAACUCCGUGCCAGCAGCCGCGGUAAUACGGGGGAUGCAAGCGU